RNAcentral lists this transfer RNA (74 nucleotides) under Microbacter margulisiae. It matches the Rfam family "tRNA". From Rfam's summary of the family: Transfer RNA (tRNA) molecules are approximately 80 nucleotides in length. RNAcentral also lists the same sequence under 3 other names. Lineage: Bacteria; Pseudomonadati; Bacteroidota; Bacteroidia; Bacteroidales; Porphyromonadaceae. The record is from Rfam by way of RNAcentral.
GGUCUCGUAGCUCAGCUGGAUAGAGCAACAGCCUUCUAAGCUGUGGGUCUUGGGUUCGAAUCCCAACGAGAUCA